UUAAAAUAAAACAAAGGAGAAGAAAAAAA
RNAcentral lists this small RNA (29 nucleotides) under Arabidopsis thaliana (thale cress). RNAcentral describes it as "ATSL293770". The record is from RNAcentral. Lineage: Eukaryota; Viridiplantae; Streptophyta; Magnoliopsida; Brassicales; Brassicaceae.